RNAcentral lists this ribosomal RNA (492 nucleotides) under uncultured bacterium. Its description in RNAcentral is "partial 16S ribosomal RNA". It matches the Rfam family "Bacterial small subunit ribosomal RNA", at positions 29 to 507 of the family's 1533-position model. The record is from RNAcentral.
AGUGAACGCUGGCGGUAGGCCUAACACAUGCAAGUCGAACGGCAGCACAGUAAGAGCUUGCUCUUACGGGUGGCGAGUGGCGGACGGGUGAGGAAUACAUCGGAAUCUACUUUUUCGUGGGGGAUAACGUAGGGAAACUUACGCUAAUACCGCAUACGACCUACGGGUGAAAGCAGGGGAUCUUCGGACCUUGCGCGAUUGAAUGAGCCGAUGUCGGAUUAGCUAGUUGGCGGGGUAAAGGCCCACCAAGGCGACGAUCCGUAGCUGGUCUGAGAGGAUGAUCGGCGACACUGGAACUGAGACACGGUCAAGACUCCUACGGGAGGCAGCAGUGGGGAAUAUGAGACAAUGGGCGCAAGCCUGAUCCAGCCAGACCGCGUGGGUGAAGAAGGCCUUCGGGUUGUAAAGCCCUUUUGUUGGGAAAGAAAAGCAGCAGGUUAAUACCCCGCUGUUCUGACGGUACCCAAAGAAUAAGCACCGGCUAACUUCGUG